ACUAUUUCUGUAGCGAUCACCGUAUGUUGUGGAAUUUCAGCCCGCUAGCGGGUUCCGUGCGCAGAGAGGUUAAGAACAAAUUCUUAUUUACAAUAAAGUCCUACCCCUGCCAAAAACAGACAACACUGGGUCAAUUGUGCACCGCCCUAUGGGACUCCCAUAUGCAGCCUGUAUUUGAACCAGAUACUGCAGUGAUGCCUCUUUCACUGAGAUGCACUGCCUACGGACUGAUAGUACUGCCUCUGAUUGGGAACCACACUCGGCCAACAACAAAGAAAUAGAAAACAUGUCAGAAAUACAAUAGGGACUGAUAGUUCUGAAGUACUUGUAUAGUACAAUAGGGACUAUAGUACUGAAGUACUAGUAUAAUACAUUAGCAAUUGAUAGUCCUGUGUUACGAAUGUAAGAAUAUUUUGAAGAUAAAUACACAACGCAGAGACAGAGGACGAGAGGUCAAUAGAGUACUGAUGAAUGGAAAUAGAGCUUUUAAUGUAUAUGUCUUCUGAAAUAGGAUAUUUGUUAUUUGGCCAUUGGCCCAGUUUUAUUGCAAGGAAUUCUAAUUGGUCAACCACAGGCUAGGGCUGGGCUAUAAACUACAUCCUGGCCCUUUGUUCUGUGGAGAGAAUCACAGGAGAGAAUCACUGAGGACAGGGAAAAAAUGGUCAUCUACCUCAGCAUAAUAUCUAUGAGUUAUCCUCUUUGAAUAAACCUAUUUUCCUCCCCCUGAUUUGCUUUGGGGUUUGUGUAAUUGAAGAGUAAAUCAACUGCUAAAAUGAGUAAAUCCAUUGAAGAACACUGAUAAUUCUGUAUUUACAUUAUGAGGUAUUUGAAAUAUGAAAAUAUUUUGGUAACAUAAUCUGUAUCGGUAUAAUCUGUAUCAUAGUUAACAGAUAUGAAUGUGGGUCCUUACCAGUAAGGCUAUUUACAUAGAACACUUUGCAUUAGCAGCACACACUUCAGUGCUCUGGGAGUGUUUAUAGCCCUGUGAGUUAACACUUCAUGACUGAGAGCUGUCCUUCAUAACAACAGAACUUCAACAAUGACUUUCAUCAUGAGCUUUGUGUGGAUAUUGAUGUUCUUUAUUCAAGAAUCCAGAGGACAGUACACUGUGACUCAGGCUCCUACAGAGGAAACUGUUCUCCCAGGACAGACAGUCUCUCUGAAGUGUAAAACCAGCAGUAAUGUGUGUUAUGUAAAUGCCAAAUAUCCAGUACUAGCCUGGUACCACCAGAAACCUGGAGGAGCUCAUAAACUCCUUAUUUCCCUUGCUAAAACCCUUCAGCCUGGGACUCCAUCUAGAUUCAGUGGUAGUGGAUCUCAGAGAUCUCAUGGAUCUCAUCUCAGGAUGGACCUGAGCCCUAGGACCAUGCCCCAGGACUACCUGACAUGAUGACUCCUU
This is a non-coding RNA of Oncorhynchus kisutch (coho salmon), 1399 nucleotides long. The record is from the annotation of a RefSeq genome assembly. NCBI's taxonomy places the organism in Eukaryota, Metazoa, Chordata, Actinopteri, Salmoniformes, Salmonidae.